RNAcentral lists this ribosomal RNA (1297 nucleotides) under Inocellia elegans. RNAcentral describes it as "16S ribosomal RNA". The record is from RNAcentral. Lineage: Eukaryota; Metazoa; Arthropoda; Insecta; Raphidioptera; Inocelliidae.
AAAGAAAAUUUUAUUUGUUAUGUAUUAUUUGAAAGUAUUUUUAAAUAAAAUAUUAUUAAUUUAUUUUUAUUUAAGUAUAUUAAAGAAAAAAUUAAAUAUAAUUAAAGUUUAUUAGUAAUGAGAAUGAAUUAAUUUAAUUAAUUUAAAGAAUUUUUUAUUUAAAGUACCUUUUGUAUCAGGGUUUAUUUAAUUAAUAAUUAUAAUUUUAAUUAAUUUCGAAUUUAAAAGAUUUAAUUUUUUAUUUUUUAUAUUGUAGAAUAAAUAUUUAUAAUAAUAAAUUAGUAAUGAAAUGUUAUUCGUUUUUAAAGAUAUCUAGUUUUUUUAGAAAAAAAUUUAAUUUUAUUAUAAAUUAUUAUUUAAAUUUAAAUUAAAAUUUAAAUAUUUAUUUAUAAAAAAAUUUUUAGGGAUAAGCUUAAAGAUUAAGUUAUAUUUUGGUUAUAAGAAUAAUUAAAUUUAUGAUUAGAAAUUUCAAUAAUAUUAAUAAUUUUAUAAUUUAUAUAUGAAAAUUUUAAUUUUUAUGAAAUUAAUUUAUUUAUAGAAAUAUUUAAUAAAAUUAUUUAUUAAAGUAAUAAUGAUAAAAUUAGUAUAUUUAUUUGAAUAAUUAAAUUUUAAAAAAUUUUUAAAUUAAUAAUAAGGAAUUCGGCAAAAUAAUUGUUCGCCUGUUUAUCAAAAACAUGGUUUUUUGUUUUAUAAUUUAAAAUUUAAUCUGCCCACUGAUUUAAUUAAAGGGCCGCAGUACAUUGACUGUGCAAAGGUAGCAUAAUCAUUUGUUUCUUAAUUGUUGACUUGUAUGAAUGAUUGGACGGGAUAAUUACUGUCUCAUUUUUAUUUAUAUUAAAAUUUUAUUUUUAAGUUAAAAAGCUUAAAUGAAUUUUAAGGACGAGAAGACCCUAUAGAGUUUAAUUAAUUUAAUAAAAAAUUUUAUUUUUGAAUUUAAAUUUUUUUUAUAAAAAUUAAUUUAAUUGGGGUGAUUAAAAAAUUUAUAUAACUUUUUAUAAAAUUAGUCAAAAAAUUUUGUUUAUUUUUGAUCCAGAAGUUUUGAUUACUUGAUUAAAUUACCUUAGGGAUAACAGCGUUAUUAUUUUGGAAAGUUCAUAUUUAUAAAAUAGUUUGCGACCUCGAUGUUGAAUUAAGAUAAAUUUUUGGUGCAGUAAUUAAAAUUUUUAGUCUGUUCGACUAUUAAAUUCUUACAUGAUUUGAGUUCAAACCGGUGUAAGCCAGGUUGGUUUCUAUCCUAAAUAAUAUAAAAUAUUUUAGUACGAAAGGACCAUAUAUUUAAUUAAAAAUUUAUUUUAAG